UACAGAGGUGGCAAGCGUUGUUCGGAAUUACUGGGCGUAAAGGGUCCGUAGGCGGUGUGGCAAGUCGGAAGUGAAAUCUCUGGGCUUAACCCAGAGGCUGCUCCCGAAACUGCCGUGCUAGAGUGCGAGAGAGGCGAGUGGAAUUGCGGGUGUAGCGGUGAAAUGCGUAGAUAUCCGCAGGAACAUCCGAGGCGAAAGCGGCUCGCUGGAUCGCAACUGACGCUGAGGGACGAAAGCUAGGGGAGCAAACAGG
RNAcentral lists this ribosomal RNA (253 nucleotides) under uncultured bacterium. Its description in RNAcentral is "partial 16S ribosomal RNA". It matches the Rfam family "Bacterial small subunit ribosomal RNA", at positions 524 to 776 of the family's 1533-position model. The record is from RNAcentral.